AUGGGUCAGCGACUUACGUUCUGUGGCGAGCUUAACCGAAUAGGGGAGGCGCAGCGAAAGCGAGUUCGAAAUGAGCGUCCAGUCGCAGGGUGUAGACCCGAAACCAGAUGAGCUAUCCAUGGCCAGGUUGAAGGUGUGGUAACACACACUGGAGGACCGAACCGACUAGUGUUGCAAAAUUAGCGGAUGAGCUGUGGAUAGGGGUGAAAGGCCAAACAAAUCUGGAGAUAGCUGGUUCUCCCCGAAAACUAUUGAGGUAGUGCCUCGUGUGUCGCUCCAGGGGGUAGAGCACUGUUUUGGCUAGGGGGACAUGGAGUCUUACCAAACCAAGGCAAACUCCGAAUACCUGGAAGCGUGAGCACGGGAGACAGAGCACCGGGUGCUAACGUCCGGACUCAAAAGGGAAACAACCCAGACCGCCGGCUAAGGUCCCAAAUAACAGCUAAGUGGAAAACGAAGUGGAAAGGCCGUGACAACCAGGAAGUUGGCUUAGAAGCAGCCAUCCUUCAAAGAAAGCGUAAUAGCUCACUGGUCGAGUCCUUCUGCGCGGAAGAUGUAACGGGGCUAAGCUGUUAACCGAAGCCGCGGAUGCGCUGGUUAUCCAGUGCGUGGUAGGGGAGCGUUCUGUAAGUCUGCGAAGGCGGUUCGAGAGGACUGCUGGAGAUAUCAGAAGUGCGAAUGCUGACAUGAGUAACGUUAAAGCAGGUGAAAAGCCUGCUCGCCGUAAGCCCAAGGAUUCCUGCUCUACGUUCAUCGGAGCAGGGUGAGUCGGCUCCUAAGGUCAGGCCGAAAGGCGUAGCCGAUGGGAAUCAGGUUAAUAUUCCUGAACCUGCGUCAGAUGCGAUGGGGGGACGGAGCAUGGAAGAUCAUCCGGGUGUUGGAAGUCCCGGUUGUUUAGCGUAGGAGGUCUGCAGGCAAAUCCGCAGACGCAUCUCCAAGGCAAAGACACGUGCCGCCACGGCGGCGAAGUGAUCGGAAGUGCUUCCAAGAAAAGCCUCUAAGCCCCAGUCUGACGCGGACCGUACCGCAAACCGACACUGGUGGGCGAGCUGAAUAUGCUCAGGCGCUUGAGAGAACUCGGGAGAAGGAACUCGGCAAAUUGACACCGUAACUUCGGAAGAAGGUGUGCCGUAGUACCGUGAGAGGAGAGACACCUUGAGCGGGAAACGGUCUCAGAGAAUAGGUGGCUGCGACUGUUUAUUAAAAACACAGCACUCUGCAAAGUCGAAAGACGACGUAUAGGGUGUGAUGCCUGCCCGGUGCUGGAAGAUUAAUUGAUGGGGUGAGAGCCCUUGAUCGAAGUCCCAGUAAACGGCGGCCGUAACUAUAACGGUCCUAAGGUAGCGAAAUUCCUUGUCGGGUAAGUUCCGACCUGCACGAAUGGCAUAACGAUGGCCACACUGUCUCCUCCCGAGACUCAGUGAAGUUGAAAUGUUUGUGAUGAUGCAAUCUACCCGCGGCUAGACGGAAAGACCCCAUGAACCUUUACUGCAGCUUUGCAUUGAACUGUGAACCGAUUUGUGUAGGAUAGGUGGGAGGCAGAGAAGAGGCCACGCCAGUGGUCUUGGAGCCGACCUUGAAAUACCACCCUGAUUUGUUUGCGGUUCUAACCACGGACAGUGAUCCUGUCUUGGGACCGUGCAUGGUAGGCAGUUUGACUGGGGCGGUCUCCUCCUAAAGGGUAACGGAGGAGUACGAAGGUACGCUAGGUACGGUCGGAAAUCGUGCUGAUAGUGCAAUGGCAAAAGCGUGCUUGACUGCGAGAGCAACAACUCGAGCAGAUGCGAAAGCAGGUCAUAGUGAUCCGGUGGCUCUGAAUGGAAGGGCCAUCGCUCAACGGAUAAAAGGUACUCUGGGGAUAACAGGCUGAUACCGCCCAAGAGUUCAUAUCGACGGCGGUGUUUGGCACCUCGAUGUCG
RNAcentral lists this ribosomal RNA (1919 nucleotides) under uncultured Burkholderiales bacterium. Its description in RNAcentral is "bacterial LSU rRNA". It matches the Rfam family "Bacterial large subunit ribosomal RNA", at positions 615 to 2534 of the family's 2925-position model. The record is from RNAcentral. Lineage: Bacteria; Pseudomonadati; Pseudomonadota; Betaproteobacteria; Burkholderiales.